RNAcentral lists this ribosomal RNA (63 nucleotides) under Virgibacillus carmonensis. Its description in RNAcentral is "partial 23S ribosomal RNA". Lineage: Bacteria; Bacillati; Bacillota; Bacilli; Caryophanales; Bacillaceae. The record is from RNAcentral.
AGAGCGCACGGUGAAUGCCUUGGCACUAGGAGCCGACGAAGGACGGGACUAACACCGAUAUGC